GCUCAGGAUGAACGCUGGCGGCGUGCCUAAUACAUGCAAGUCGAACGGUCUAGCGCAAGCUAGAUAGUGGCGAACGGGUGAGUAACGCGUUGGUGACCUGCCCCGAAGUGUGGGAUAACAGUUCGAAAGGAUUGCUAAUACCGCAUGUGGUUAUAGGGAUUAGAUGCCUUGUAACUAAAGGAGUAAUUCGCUUCGGGAGGGGCCUGCGUCCCAUCAGCUAGUUGGUAAGGUAACGGCUUACCAAGGCGGUGACGGGUAGGGGACCUGAGAGGGUGGCCCCCCACAAUGGAACUGAAACACGGUCCAUACACCUACGGGUGGCAGCAGUAGGGAAUAUUGGUAAUCUGCGAAAGCGGGAACCAGCAACGCCGCGUGUGCGAUGAAGGCCUUCGGGUCGUAAAGCACUUUUCGAGGGGAUGAGGAAGGACAGUACCCUCGGAAUAAGUCUCGGCUAACUACGUGCCAGCAGCCGCGGUAAAACGUAGGAGGCGAGCGUUAUCCGGAUUUACUGGGCGUAAAGCGCGUGCAGGCGGUUCUGUAAGUUGGAUGUGAAAGCUCCUGGCUCAACUGGGAGAGGUCGUUCAAUACUGCAGGACUUGAGGAUGGUAGAGGGAGGUGGAAUUCCGGGUGUAGUGGUGAAAUGCGUAGAUAUCCGGAGGAACACCAGUGGCGAAAGCGGCCUCCUGGACCAUUUCUGACGCUCAGACGCGAAAGCUAGGGGAGUAAACGGGAUUAGAGACCCCGGUAAUCCUAGCUGUAAACUAUGUAGACUUGGCGUCGGUGGGUUUAAAUCCAUCGGUGCCGUAGCUAACGCGAUAAGUCUACCGCCUGGGGACUACGGCCGCAAGGUUAAAACUCAAAU
RNAcentral lists this ribosomal RNA (862 nucleotides) under uncultured bacterium. RNAcentral's name for it is "bacterial SSU rRNA". It matches the Rfam family "Bacterial small subunit ribosomal RNA", at positions 22 to 906 of the family's 1533-position model. The record is from RNAcentral.